RNAcentral lists this ribosomal RNA (584 nucleotides) under Priestia megaterium. RNAcentral's name for it is "bacterial SSU rRNA". It matches the Rfam family "Bacterial small subunit ribosomal RNA", at positions 173 to 747 of the family's 1533-position model. The record is from RNAcentral. Lineage: Bacteria; Bacillati; Bacillota; Bacilli; Caryophanales; Bacillaceae.
GAUCUUCUCCUUCAUGGGAGAUGAUUGAAAGAUGGUUUCGGCUAUCACUUACAGAUGGGCCCGCGGUGCAUUAGCUAGUUGGUGAGGUAACGGCUCACCAAGGCAACGAUGCAUAGCCGACCUGAGAGGGUGAUCGGCCACACUGGGACUGAGACACGGCCCAGACUCCUACGGGAGGCAGCAGUAGGGAAUCUUCCGCAAUGGACGAAAGUCUGACGGAGCAACGCCGCGUGAGUGAUGAAGGCUUUCGGGUCGUAAAACUCUGUUGUUAGGGAAGAACAAGUACAAGAGUAACUGCUUGUACCUUGACGGUACCUAACCAGAAAGCCACGGCUAACUACGUGCCAGCAGCCGCGGUAAUACGUAGGUGGCAAGCGUUAUCCGGAAUUAUUGGGCGUAAAGCGCGCGCAGGCGGUUUCUUAAGUCUGAUGUGAAAGCCCACGGCUCAACCGUGGAGGGUCAUUGGAAACUGGGGAACUUGAGUGCAGAAGAGAAAAGCGGAAUUCCACGUGUAGCGGUGAAAUGCGUAGAGAUGUGGAGGAACACCAGUGGCGAAGGCGGCUUUUUGGUCUGUAACUGACGCU